UGGAUUGUUAGCUCAGUUGGUAGAGCAUCUGACUCUUAAUCAGGCGGUCCAGGGUUCGAGUCCCUGACAAUCCAUCC
RNAcentral lists this transfer RNA (77 nucleotides) under Paenibacillus azoreducens. Its description in RNAcentral is "tRNA-Lys". It matches the Rfam family "tRNA". Rfam says of the family: Transfer RNA (tRNA) molecules are approximately 80 nucleotides in length. The record is from RNAcentral. RNAcentral also lists the same sequence under 1 other name. Lineage: Bacteria; Bacillati; Bacillota; Bacilli; Caryophanales; Paenibacillaceae.